Molecule: ribosomal RNA, 441 nt
Filed under: uncultured bacterium
Lineage: Bacteria
Description: partial 16S ribosomal RNA
Rfam family: Bacterial small subunit ribosomal RNA
Source: RNAcentral
CCUACGGUGGGCAGCAGUGGGGAAUAUUGCACAAUGGGGGAAACCCUGAUGCAGCGACGCCGCGUGAGUGAAGAAGUAUUUCGGUAUGUAAAGCUCUAUCAGCAGGGAAGAAGAAAGACGGUACCUGACUAAGAAGCCCCGGCUAACUACGUGCCAGCAGCCGCGGCAAUACGUAGGGGGCAAGCGUUAUCCGGAUUUACUGGGGGGAAAGGGAGCGUAGACGGCUGUGCAAGUCUGAAGUGAAAGCCCAGGGCUUAACCCUGGGACUGCUUUGGAAACUGUGGAGCUAGAGUGCUGGAGAGGUAAGUGGAAUUCCGAGUGUAGCGGUGAAAUGCGUAGAUAUUAGGAGGAACACCAGAGGCGAAGGCGGCUUACUGGACAGUAACUGACGUUGAGGCUCGAAAGCGUGGGGAGCAAACAGGAUUAGAUACCCCAGUAGUC